RNAcentral lists this long non-coding RNA (1944 nucleotides) under Struthio camelus australis. Its description in RNAcentral is "lncRNA (ENSSCUG00000003413.1)". The record is from RNAcentral. Lineage: Eukaryota; Metazoa; Chordata; Aves; Struthioniformes; Struthionidae.
GCCGCCGCCGCCGGGGGAAGCUCAGCGGGCGGAGAGCGGGGAGGAAAUAUAAUGAAAGGAGGAAUAAUGCACUAAGGGGAAGGAGGCUGAUGGUCGCCCGGAGGCUCCGCACCUACAGAGAGUGAAGUCCUGUUGCAGUGCCGCUGCCUCUACCUACGCUGACUGAGCUUGUCAAUGGAGCUGGAAAAUAUCGUUGCCAACACCGUCUUGCUGAAAGCCAGGGAAGGGGGUGGAGGGAAACGCAAAGGCAAAAGCAAAAAGUGGAAGGAAAUCUUGAAAUUCCCUCACAUCAGCCAAUGUGAAGAUCUCCGAAGAACAAUAGAGAGAGAUUACUGCAGUAUAUGCGAAAAGCAGCCGAUCGGAAGGCUUCUCUUUCGGCAGUUCUGUGAAACUCGACCCGAGCUUGAGUGCUGCAUUAGGUUUCUUGACUCAGUGGCAGAGUAUGAAAUUGCUCCAGAUGAAAAGCUGGGAGAGAAAGGAAAGGAAAUCAUGAUGAAAUACCUCACCCCAGAGGUAAGGGGCAGCCAGAAUGUCAGUCCAGAUCUUAUCCAACAGACAGAGGAAAAACUCGAAAUCAGCCCCUGCAAAGAGCUAUUCGCUCACUGUACAAAAUCUGUCCUUGACCACCUCAGCGGGGAACCAUUCCAAGAAUACCUAAACAGCAUGUACUUCGACAGGUUUCUGCAGUGGAAGUGGUUGGAAAGGCAACCAGUAACGAAAAACACAUUUAGGCAGUACAGGGUACUGGGGAAAGGUGGCUUUGGGGAGGUCUGCGCUUGCCAAGUCCGAGCAACAGGGAAGAUGUAUGCCUGCAAAAGAUUAGAGAAGAAGAGAAUAAAAAAGAGGAAAGGCGAAUCCAUGGCACUAAAUGAAAAGCAGAUUUUAGAAAAAGUCAAUAGUCAGUUUGUAGUCAAUUUAGCCUAUGCCUACGAAACAAAGGAUGCACUGUGUUUAGUUCUGACCAUAAUGAAUGGGGGUGACUUGAAGUUUCAUAUCUACAAUAUGGGAAACCCAGGCUUUGAGGAAGAACGAGCUUUGUUUUAUGCGGCAGAGAUUCUUUGUGGCUUAGAAGACCUACACAGAGAAAAUACUGUAUACAGAGAUUUGAAGCCAGAAAAUAUCCUACUAGAUGAUUAUGGUCAUAUUAGAAUAUCUGAUUUGGGUCUAGCUGUUAAAAUUCCUGAGGGUGAAUCAAUCCGUGGAAGGGUAGGAACAGUAGGGUAUAUGGCCCCAGAAGUGUUGAACAACCAGAGAUACACGCUCAGCCCUGACUACUGGGGGCUAGGCUGUCUCAUUUAUGAAAUGAUUGCUGGGCAAUCACCAUUUCGUGGAAGGAAAGAGAAAGUGAAGAGGGAAGAAGUGGACAGGAGAGUGCUGGAGACGGAAGAAGUGUACUCCCAUAAGUUUUCUGAGGAGGCCAAGUCCAUCUGUAAAAUGCUCCUCACCAAAGAUUUGAAGCAGCGACUGGGAUGUCAAGGGGAAGGUGCAGCAGAAGUGAAGAGACACCCCUUUUUCAAGAGCAUGAAUUUCAAGCGGUUAGAAGCAGGAAUGCUGGAUCCUCCCUUUGUCCCUGAUCCCAGAGCAGUAUAUUGCAAGGAUGUGUUAGACAUCGAGCAGUUCUCCACAGUGAAAGGAGUAAACCUGGACCAAACAGAUGAUGAUUUCUAUUCCAAGUUUUCCACAGGAUCAGUCUCUAUUCCAUGGCAAAAUGAGAUGAUAGAAACAGAGUGUUUCAAAGAACUAAAUGUGUUUGGACCAAAUGGUACUAUUUCACCAGACCUAAAUAAAAGCUACCCCCCAGAGCCACCCAAGAAAGGAUUGCUACAGAGAAUAUUUAAACGACAGCAUCAGAACAAUUCAAAGAGUUCUCCAAAUUCAAAGGCCAGUUUAAAUCACCACAUAAAUUCAAAUCAUGUAAGUUCAAACUCCACUGGAAGCAGCUAG